CUUUUUAGGCUUCGUUUGGUUCGGGUAUAAGCAAGAAAAUAGUUAUACCGGGGAUAGGUACAAAAAUGAAUUUUCGUAGGAACAAAAGUAUUUUUUUGUUUGGAUGAAAAUAUGAGUAUAAGCUGGAACUAGAAAAAUUGUGUUUGGAUGAAAAUCUGAGUAUAAGGUGAAAUAGUUGAUAGUUAUAGAUAGAAGGGGCAAUUUCAUAGGUACCCCUCCCAAAGUUUAAAAUAUCAUACAUGCCCCUAUAAAGUUUAAAAUAUCAUAUAUGCCCCUGUAAACAUUGAAAAUUAUCACCAAUGCCCCUACCGUCAGUUGUGUUAGUUUUACUAUAGUUAUUAAAAGAUUAAAGAUGGGUUAACUUUUAAAAUGACCUAUUUGCCCUCAACUAUGC
RNAcentral lists this long non-coding RNA (394 nucleotides) under Ananas comosus (pineapple). RNAcentral's name for it is "long non-coding RNA (ACOM_LNC018326)". The record is from RNAcentral. Lineage: Eukaryota; Viridiplantae; Streptophyta; Magnoliopsida; Poales; Bromeliaceae.